RNAcentral lists this ribosomal RNA (631 nucleotides) under uncultured Burkholderiales bacterium. RNAcentral's name for it is "bacterial SSU rRNA". It matches the Rfam family "Bacterial small subunit ribosomal RNA", at positions 56 to 682 of the family's 1533-position model. The record is from RNAcentral. Lineage: Bacteria; Pseudomonadati; Pseudomonadota; Betaproteobacteria; Burkholderiales.
UGCAAGUCGAACGGCAGCGCGGGCUUCGGCCUGGCGGCGAGUGGCGGACGGGUGAGUAAUGCAUCGGAACGUGCCCAGGAGUGGGGGAUAACGUAGCGAAAGUUACGCUAAUACCGCAUACGUACUGAGGUAGAAAGCGGGGGAUCGAAAGACCUCGCGCUCAUGGAGCGGCCGAUGUCGGAUUAGCUAGUUGGCGGGGUAAAAGCCCACCAAGGCGACGAUCCGUAGCUGGUCUGAGAGGACGACCAGCCACACUGGGACUGAGACACGGCCCAGACUCCUACGGGAGGCAGCAGUGGGGAAUCUUGGACAAUGGGGGAAACCCUGAUCCAGCAAUGCCGCGUGUGGGAUGAAGGCCCUCGGGUUGUAAACCACUUUUGGCAGGAAAGAAAUCGCCUGUGCUAAUACCACGGGCGGAUGACGGUACCUGCAGAAUAAGCACCGGCUAACUACGUGCCAGCAGCCGCGGUAAUACGUAGGGUGCGAGCGUUAAUCGGAAUUACUGGGCGUAAAGAGUGCGUAGGCGGUUUUGUAAGACAGAUGUGAAAUCCCCGGGCUUAACCUGGGAACUGCAUUUGUGACUGCAAGACUAGAGUGUGUCAGAGGGAGGUGGAAUUCCGCGUGUAGCAGU